Long non-coding RNA from Camellia sinensis, 1387 nucleotides. RefSeq lists it as uncharacterized. NCBI's taxonomy places the organism in Eukaryota, Viridiplantae, Streptophyta, Magnoliopsida, Ericales, Theaceae. The record is from RefSeq and is a predicted model, not a curated record.
GCGGGUUAUCUUAUUUGUACUGUGCUGGAAAUAAACAUGAGAGAGUGUUAAAGAGAGAGUUAGAAAGAGUGAAGUCAAGAAAGGAUGGAAGUCUUGAUGCCUAUUCAUUACCUUCGGCUGGAGUAAACCGAGAGAGGGAGAGAGUGAGAAUACUCAAGUUAUUUGGCUGUUGGAAAAGAAAAAAAAAAGAGAGUUGCUGGAAAAUUCUGUGCCAAGAAGGGAGAAGGAAUUGAACUCAAGGAAGCAAGGGUUUAAAGAAAGGAAAGGGAAAUUCAUCAAGAAACUCAUCAAUCAAGAACUCUAGGGUCAAGUGCAAGGGCGAAUCAAGCACCAGAGCACUGUGUAGGUGAGCAAUUGGAGGAUCAACAUUAGAGUUUGCCUGGGAGCCCGCCUCUUUGUCAAGCCACCCAAGAGUGCCUCUAUGUAGAGGCUUUGUUCUGUUUUGUUUUGUCAAGCUUGGGAUAAUCUUUGUACUUGGUUAGAAGUCCUUUACAUAGAGUGUAAGAUAUGAUAUAAAGUAUGUCUUCGUACAUGUAUAUAUGAAAAUGUGUUAAAAAUAUUUUAAUUACUAUAGUUGAUCAUGUACGCACAGCUCGAUGGACAUCAUCAUUUUGAUUUUGCUUCCGCUUCAAGCCCCGGUAAAAUUAAAUAUUUUGAAAUUUUGUCUUUGAGGCCGUAGAUAAUCUACGGAUUACUGGCCGGUUACGACGCUAAACCUAUAGGGGCGGGUUUGGGUCGUGGCAACCUAACUGGCCCAUCUUCAAAAGACAGCAGAAAGAUCAAAUUACAAUCUAUGCAAUACAUAGUGUAUGGUAAUGCUCUUUACAAAAGGGGAGCAGAUGAGUUGUUAUUGGAAUGCCUAGGGCCAAAGGAGGCACUGACAGCCAUGGCUGAAGUUCAUGAAAGCAUUUGUGGUGCUCAUCAGCCUGGUGUGAAGAUGAGAUGGUUGAUUCGAAGGCAUUCCUACUAUUGGCCAACCAUCCUUAAAAAUUGCAUAGAGUAUGCCAGAGGUUGUCAGGCAUGCCAAAAACAUGGCAUGAUAAGACAUGUACCAAUAACUGAUUUGUAUGCAGUUGUGAAGCCUUGGCUAUUUAAAGGUUGGGCUAUGGAUAUGAUAGGAAAAAUACGCCCACCUUCUUCGAAGCAUCACUGUUUCAUCCUAGUGACCACAGAUUACUUCAUUAAGUGGGUCGAAACUAAAACAUAUAACGCUGUAGAUCAAACUGAAGUAAUUGGAUUUAUUAAAGACCUAAUGCACAGGUUUGGCAUUCCACAGACCAUAACUGUAGAUAAUGAGACUGUAUUUGAUGGAAAGAUGGUAAAAUCUUUCACAGCAGAGUUUGAAAUUAGCCUUGUUAAUUCCACCCCUUAUUAUGCACAAGCAAAU